UAAAAUAAGGAAAAUUACACUACAUAGUAGGUUUUACUGUUAAAAUGUCUAAGACAUGUCCACACAAAUGUAUGGAAGACAUAUAUGACUUGAAUUUAAAUUGACUUCUUUAUACACAUUCAUGACUACAUACAUUUAAAUAAUGUUGUUAGCUGUGCAAUGUUUAGAUGUGCAUUGGUUUCUAAUACGAAAAAGCUUAAAAGUUAUAAUGUUAAAACUACAAUCAACAGCGAACACUAGAAAUGGUGAACGAUUUAAAGUUGUCGUUAGCUAGAUACCGUUUUGAAAUAUAUUAGUUUAUAAACAAUAUAAAAAGCUUAGAAGUUGUAAUGUUAAAGCUACAAUCAACAACGAGCACUAGAAAUUGUGAACAAUUUAAAGUUGUCGUUAGCUAGAUACCGUUUUGAAAUAUAUUAGUUUAUAAACAAUAUAAAAAGCUUAGAAGUUGUAAUGUUAAAACUACAAUCAACAGCAAACACUAGAAAUGGUGAAUGAUU
Non-coding RNA from Ciona intestinalis (vase tunicate), 497 nucleotides. Lineage: Eukaryota; Metazoa; Chordata; Ascidiacea; Phlebobranchia; Cionidae. The record is from RefSeq and is a predicted model, not a curated record.